Molecule: RNA transcript, 2949 nt
Organism: Perca fluviatilis (European perch)
Lineage: Eukaryota; Metazoa; Chordata; Actinopteri; Perciformes; Percidae
Exons: 4
Source: RefSeq, a predicted model, not a curated record
GAUGGCAAACAGAUCCCCCCCUGAAAAAAAAUCAGGAGGUAAUAGAUUUUCAUGUGGAUAACCAUACAGCCUCAGUGGAUGAAGAAGACCACAAUGGUGAAGCAGAUGAUCACCUCAUUGAUAAUGCCCCAUUAUCAAGGAGUCUGCAUGACCUUCAAGAUGAAGGCGUAAUGCGUAACGCAGAUGUUGAGCCAGCUGAUCACCUGAUAGAUAAUGGCAAAUUAUCAAUAGAUUUCCAAAACCCUCAAGAGGAAGAAGUAAAGGAGAAUGCAGCUGAGUCAGAUGGUCAGGUACCAAUGGAUUCUCAUGAUGAUGCUCAAUGGGAUCAUGUGGAAUCAAAAAAUGCUAAUGCUGACCGCCAAAUAAACGUUGAGAGCAAGAUGGCAACAGAUCCCCCCCCUGAAAAAAAAUCAGGAUGUAAUAGAUUUUCAUGUGGAUAACCAUACAGCCUCAGUGGAUGAAGAAGACCACAAUGGUGAAGCAGAUGAUCACCUCAUUGAUAAUGCCCCAUUAUCAAGGAGUUUGCAUGACCUUCAAGUUGAAGGAGUAAUGCGUAACGCAGAUGUUGAGCCAGCGGAUCACCUGAUAGAUAAUGGCAAAUUAUCAAUAGAUUCCCAAAACCCUCAAGAGGAAGAAGUAAAGGAGAAUGCAGCUGAGUCAGAUGGUCAGGUACCAAUGGAUUUUCAUGAUUAUUCUCAAUGGGAUUGUGUGGAAUCAAAAAAUGACACAGAAGUGGACAAAAAUGAAAGUAGGAUAAUCAAGCCUGGCCCAAGAAAAUUCAAAAUAAAGAUCCCCAAAAAAACAUGGGGUAAUAUUAAGCCAAAAAAGGGAUCCACCAAACUAAAAAGGCCAUGGACAAAUAUAAUAUACAAGCAGUUCAGGAAGUACAACCCUUGCUGUACUCUUGUCUUCAAAUACCAUCAUGUUAAAAUGCAAGACAGCAGGAAAAGAUCAUGUCCUUAUUUGAUGAUCAAGGCUGUGUGUUCAUUUUCAACCUGCAGAGCAAUCUAUCUGUUCAAAAUGCCUAAAAAACCCUCAAACACCACAAAAUCAGUCAGCAUUCAAGUGACACGUUUUGGAAAGGUAAAACAUUUAAAAGGUGAGAUUCACUUUAGGCCUGCCAACUACAAUAAAAGAGGCAAGAUUGCAAAAUCCCUUAUAAGUGGAGUAAGCAAUACAUAUUACAAAAGGCUGUCUGAGACACCUUCUGCAGAGUUGAUGGCAGGUAAUUUCAGUCAUGCCCUGACUAAAGAUAUAAUCAAGGCUGUUUCAGUGGAGAUGAGAAAAAGCACACGACUCCAUGAUGAUGUUGUAAUGGAGCUAAUUUUAAUUCAACAGAUACUGAAAGAGAGUGAAAGCAAAUUCACAUUUUGCCCAGGAUACAUCCAGCAUCUACAGAUUGAUCCAUUUGGUGUUCACCUAUACACAGAGACAGGCCUGUCCAUUCUCUUGGAGCAUCUACGCAAAAAUUCAAAAACGACCCUUUUUCUGGAUGCCACCGGAGGAGUAGUACGUCGGCUCCCAAACCAGCAAAAGAGAGUCCUGUACUAUGAUCUGUCACUGCCAGGGAAUGGCAAAAACAGGCCUCCCUUGCCCAUUGCUGAGAUGAUAACAAAUGAUCACACUGUACCGAACCUGGCCUUUUGGCUUUUAAAAGUGACAACGAAAUUGGGCAAAUUGACCACACAUAAAAUCCAUCAAGUGGAAACCGACUAAAGUUGGGCACUUAUUCAAGGUGUCCUAUUAGCCUUCAAUAGGCAGGGUGUGUUGGCAUAUUUGGACACUGUGUACAAUAUCUUGAAACAAGGGUGCACUGCACAAAAGCUGAAGGCAACCACAGUGCUGCACUUGUGCUCAGCACACAUUCUCAAGGCACUCUCUGUGUCCUUCACCAACAAGGUGAAAGAUAAGGGCAUUAAAGAGUUUGCCACUCAUUGUGUGGCACUGAUGAUCAACAGCACCAGCCUAAACAGUGCUUUACAGAUUUUUGGCCACAUGUCUGCUGUGUUUUUAGCUGAGUACUCCAGUCCAACUGUGAGGAAAAGCCUCAGAGCUCUUCAGGACCACAUACAAAAAAAUCACCUCCCUGAUGACAUCGCUAGUGACUUUUUAAAACCAGAAGACACUGAGCCCUCAAGGAAAGCCAACACUCUCCUCAGAAACUCCCCAUUCCACGUAGACUUCAAAACAGUCCAGAGAAAUGUGGAGUCCAUGUUAGAGGAAGAGGACAACAAAACGGAGGAAAAUCCGUACCACUGUCCGGAGGUCAUAAAUGUCCUGUUCCGGGACUACUUGGGGAUAUUCCCCCUUUGGUCAGGUGUCAUGCUGGGUGAUUUGGCCAUGUAUGCUACUGAUGCACCUUCGAAAGAGAAAGCAGAGAGUGCUUGCACCAGGCAAACAAACUGCCAUGCAGAGAACUGGUUUGGGAUAGUAAAGAACAACAUACUUCAAAAAGAACGUUUUCUGCGGCCUGGAGUAUUCAUUCAGAAGCUACAUGCCUCUCUGAGAGCACGCUACAUGGAGCAUAGUCUCCAAUAUGGUUUAACACUGAACCAAAAGCCAUUGAGGUGUAGGGUUGACUUGUUGGAUCACUCUGAAGAGCAGUGGGCAAAGAGAACUGUAACCUCUCGUCAAACAAAAACAAAAUACUUUGACCCUCCCAAGAACCUUCCAACUCCAAAGGCAGUAAAAUGGAAAAAGAUGAAAGCAACAAGACAGAAAUCCAAGAACACCGCCAAUAAGAAUACAAGUGAGGAAGAGAAACACAAAGAUUUUCAAACAAAGAAAACUGCAAAGAGGGAAGAUGGAAGCAAACGCAGCAAGCUCAGUGGAAAGAACACUGCCAAUACAAACACAAGUGAUGAAGAGAAACACAAAGAUUUUCAAACAAAGAAAACUGCAAAGGUAAGAAUUAUGGAUUUUUAAGUUCACAUUGACACCAUCAUCAUU